Molecule: long non-coding RNA, 1130 nt
Organism: Mastomys coucha (southern multimammate mouse)
Lineage: Eukaryota; Metazoa; Chordata; Mammalia; Rodentia; Muridae
Exons: 4
Source: RefSeq, a predicted model, not a curated record
CCCCCGCGCCCUGCGCACGUGGGAGGCGUGCGUAGCUCCGCAAGGGUCACAGUGAAUGGCGAGCAAGUUCCAGGCCUCGUCUCGCGCGCGCCCCCAUCCCCUCCCCGUUCUUCCGGCCUUGUCAGGUUGCAUUCUUUCUGUAGAAGACAAAGUCCCAAGGUUCAGCCUCACCUCCCCUGCCCCUCUCACCUCCCCUUCCCCUCUCACCUCCCCCUGUGGCUGCUUGUCCUCACCCCACUUAGGGAGACGCCAACACACAGAGCGCUACACAGCUGCUUAUUCCCACCUCAGUUGUCUACGCCUAGGACAACCUACCCGCCUCACAGGGUGCCAUGUGGCUACCUAGCCCCGCUUCAGUUGUCUCCUUGUAGGGUGACCCCCGUCAUCCCAGAGCAGCACAUGGUUGCUUAUCCCUGCCUCAGUUGUCUACACCGAGGGUGCCAGCCCUCACAAAACACCAGGCGUCUUCUUAACCCCACUUAGUGUCUCUACCGAGGGGAACCUUCCCCGAGGCAUGUUUCGAAGAUACCCUUCACCUUGUCUCCAGGAAAGACUUUAAUCAAGAUGAUGAUGAGUCAAUGAUAAGUGGACUACACUUUGACCAGAAUUUCUUAGGGCAGUUCCGAGUUUUUUGAUGAGAACGGACAGCACCUUGUCCAGCGGGUCCAUCACUCCUCUCUGAAGCCAUUUGGGGAUAGUAGUCCUGGCAUGGUGAAAGCCCAAUUUUUGAAGAAUAUAAUCAACACCUACAGGGUCAAUCUUUCUUCCAGUCCAAGAAAUUAAUCUAAAAUGAUAUGCUGAUACUAGAUCAUGGAGAAACAUGAUGAGCUCAGCAUCCAUGGUCACACAGAUGUGGUCAGUGAACUCUGUCACCACACUGCAUUCUACCUUGGGUUUCAAGUUGGCAUCUGAAACAAUAAAGGUGUUUACAGUGAAAUAAUCCAUGAAGUAAAGGGAACCAAGAUUUACACAGAUCCAUGUAAAUGCAUACACUUGUAAUAUGAAUAUAAAGAUCUGAGAAGUGAGCAACUGCUAUGUGCAUAUGAUUCACAGACUAAUGAUAAUAUAUUAAAACAUUCCUAGAAUGAAUCAUUGUUCAUUAUAAUAAAGUCUAAUUAUUCUUCACAAUA